Molecule: ribosomal RNA, 857 nt
Filed under: uncultured bacterium
Lineage: Bacteria
Description: SSU rRNA
Rfam family: Bacterial small subunit ribosomal RNA
Source: RNAcentral
UACGGGAGUGGCAAGCGUUAUCCGGAAUUAUUGGGCGUAAAGCGUCCGCAGGCGGUCUUGUAAGUCUGUCGUUAAAGCGUGGAGCUUAACUCCAUUUAAGCGAUGGAAACUGCAAGACUAGAGUGUGGUAGGGGCAGAGGGAAUUCCCGGUGUAGCGGUGAAAUGCGUAGAUAUCGGGAAGAACACCAGUGGCGAAGGCGCUCUGCUGGGCCAUAACUGACGCUCAUGGACGAAAGCCAGGGGAGCGAAAGGGAUUAGAUACCCCUGUAGUCCUGGCCGUAAACGAUGAACACUAGGUGUCGGGGGAAUCGACCCCCUCGGUGUCGUAGCCAACGCGUUAAGUGUUCCGCCUGGGGAGUACGCACGCAAGUGUGAAACUCAAAGGAAUUGACGGGGGCCCGCACAAGCGGUGGAGUAUGUGGUUUAAUUCGAUGCAACGCGAAGAACCUUACCAGGGUUUGACAUCCUGCGAAUCCCUUGGAAACGAGGGAGUGCCUUCGGGAACGCAGUGACAGGUGGUGCAUGGCUGUCGUCAGCUCGUGUCGUGAGAUGUUGGGUUAAGUCCCGCAACGAGCGCAACCCACGUCGUUAGUUGCCAGCAUUCAGUUGGGCACUCUAGCGAGACCGCCGGUGAUAAACCGGAGGAAGGUGUGGAUGACGUCAAGUCAUCAUGCCCCUUACAUCCUGGGCUACACACGUACUACAAUGCUACGGACAAAGGGCAGCAAACUCGCGAGAGCUAGCAAAUCCCAUAAACCGUGGCUCAGUUCAGAUCGUAGGCUGCAACUCGCCUACGUGAAGGAGGAAUCGCUAGUAAUCGCAGGUCAGCAUACUGCGGUGAAUACGUUCCCGGGCCU